UUUAUUAAGCACACUAAGCAAAAGAUAUAUAAGCACAAACUCUUUAUUUGGUUUUUCAUGGUUAUGUAUAUUUAUAUUUUAAUGUAGUAUAAGUAUAAAUGUAGAUAGAAAUACUUAGCGGGAUAAAUGGGGGUGCUCUCCCCCAAGCUGAAUUUUGACGUAAUUUCUUCUUAUGUAGCUAGCAGGUGGUAGAGGUGUAUUUGAAAGUCGGCAGCACCCUAACAGCGAUUAGAAUGUCCUCCGUUUGCUAGUCUUCUUGAUCCUUGAAUUCUGUGGAGCUCAAAUAGACAACAAAGCUUUGUGAAACUGAUUAAGUGUUAGCAUAAAUAUCUAGCCUUUAUCAUGUUGAGCCUCCUCAAUAAGUGUUAGUCUCUAUUUUUUAUAUUUUCAUUUUUAUAGAGCAGAAAAAAUAUUUAUUUUAUUUUUGUGCCACCACAGUGAAUGUACUUAUGGGUUUUAUGCCACUCGUGUACUCACAUGGGGCUUACUAUUUUUUAACAUUUUUAUUUUCUUUUUAGGAUAGUACGAACAUGAUUCACUAAGCAAACUAUUUAAAUAAUUAAAAAGAAAAGGAUAACUACCAAGUUUACCUCUUGGCAAGGUGUUCGGUGUUUUUAAGUCCUCCGAACGGAACUCUCCGUUUUCUCAGUCAUCCUGGGAUUCGUUGGACGGCGUAGUCGGUGGUACCGGCGGCGACUCCUCUUCGUGUAUAACUAUCUUCUCUCUCCAGACCUGACUCGGUGCUACGGUCUCCUCAGGAUAGUUCUGUAACAGAACCGUCCAAUUUAUAAGAAUUCAAGUGAAUUAGCGACCACGGAGGCAGUCAAGCCAAUGGACUUGAACCCAUAUAAACCCGGUAGUCCGACGAAAUCUCAAAAGACCUCGAUUCAACCAACAUACAACCAAGAUCGUACAUGAUCAAGCAUCACCGUCACCGAUUACAACAUUCAUCACAGAACAUAGUUUUACAUCACAUCAGAGAUUAAAGUGGUUAUUACAAACCAUAGCAGUAGCGGAAAUAAAGUAGUUUUGAAGCAACACCAACUCAGUUUAUAAUACAUGCCAGUUCCAUGGUCAAGUCCCAACAAAAGCACAACCGAAGAUAAAGGAGGUGAUCACGCCCAUGAUCUAUUCAUCAUCCGCAGCCGGGUGAGGACAUUUAGCACAGUAGCCGUGGUAAACGACAUCAUCUGCAACAGGGGUAAAUAAAACCCUGAGUACGAGAAUGUACUCAGCUAGACUUACCCAUCAUAAACCAAAAUAAAGUGACACCAAGGAGUAUGCAAGGCUGAUCUUUGUGGACUGGUUUGACUCACCUUUCUCAUAAAAGCCUUUGUUGUAAGUAACUUAUUUAUCAUAUUUCAGCAGCAAGUUCAUUACUUAGCAACUAUCCACCAGAUUAGCACCUGUUCUAAGCAUACACUUGUGUAUUUAAGCAUUACAAUAAUUACCAUAUCCAGAUUUUCACAUAGCUAUCAUCAUUCUCAUCAUAACCAUUAAGUUUGUUUAGUGAAUUCUACGUUGCCGCUGCCCAAGUUAAGUUCUCACUAUCCGGGAGAGACGGCGAUUCGAAUCGAUUCCUAUCUAGCUGGAGGGGUAUUCCUAACACUCACCCAAGCAUACUUCAUGACGGCAGCUCGGAUCACCUUUAGCACAACUCCGGACCAAUUCGCGGGUCCGUACGGCUCCGCACCCCAGGGACCGCCAAUCUGCCAGGGUCAGGACUCUAACCUGACACCUCGGUCUUACGCCAUUGACUCCCCGCACAUCCUUGCUACCAACCGGGGUGUGCACUUAAACCGAACGGGGUAUCCGGCUGGAGAUGCACUCGUAGGCUUCGCGGUCGGAACGACUUAUCCGGCCAACUAAGUGAUAGGCAUGCGUUCAACAUGACACGGGGACGUACAGCGAUUCGGUCCUUAAACGACACAGACGGGGAUAGAUUCACACCUAAGACCUCCAUGCCUUGUUGCUGCACUAUCGUCAUCCCGCCCGGUCUCAAAUUCAUUAUUAACACAUGGUUAUUUCCACGAUAGCAAAUAUAGCCAACCGUGAUCAUCAUCCACCUAACUCUCGCAGGUGACAGGAAAUCACCCGGCUUCUACCGAGCUAAGCAUGGCUAAGCAUUACUUUGAUCCUGGACCUACUUUGGUGAGGUAUGAGGUGGACAAGGUAGUCAUUAUGCAGCAAAGGUGUCAUAUCAACGCCUACCACUUAAUGCAACAAUAUAUAACCAUAGUCAAUUGAUAGCUGAACACAAAUAAUAAAAUAGUAGGAGGCUUAUAAUGCUCCGGGGCUUACCUUUGAUGUAAGUAGAGGGACGAUGGUCAGGACACUCUGGCAAGUCCUCCUCCUCCUCAGCUCCUUGAGGUAGCUCCCCUUGCUGUCCUUCCGGCUCUGGCAACUCGAACUCCAGCACCGUCACUCCCUUGGGUACACCUAUGUAUGCAUGACAAGGAGAUGAAUAUGGAGAAUGCACAUAUGGUGCAUGAUGCCAAGAUGAGGAGCCAAAGGGACAUAAAACAAGGUAUAACAUGAGCAUAAACUUCUAAGAAUAAGUGAGUCAUGGAAUAACAAGUAAAUGCAUACUUCUUCUCUGGUAGAGAGACUAAAUAGACAAGUUAAACAAGUCCUAGCUACUCCUACCCAGUCACUGGUUUAGUAGACAAACCAACCUGUCACAAGUUUCAGCCAUAACUUAAGCAUCCGUUAACCAAACUAAGCAAUUAAGCACUUUCUGGAAAGCUUAGCAAAUUGUCUACAAUUCCUUUUUAGACAUCCUAGACUGAUGCCCAACUUAAAUAUGCUAAAACAUACAAAGUUGGCUGGCUGUCCUGGAAAAUGCAGAGAGCAAGCACUUUGCAGCAGCUACUUGAAAUAUUCAUAACUUUUAAACUACUCAACCAAAUGUCAUGAAACUUGGACACGAAGUAGAUUAGCAAGUUAGCUACAAGUUUGUUGUAGACAAGUUUUCCAGAAAAUAAAAUCUUUAAUUAGUUUUUAAGCAGUUGCCAUCAGCUACACAGAAAUGCUCUAGAAAAGGCAUAAAUAGCCAAAAUAAUAUUUUGCACAUAUUGAGAAUGUAUCAAAGGGACAAUCCAAUUGCACCAAUAGAUAGAACAUGACUAAGAAACACUAGAAAACAUCAUGGCAAGGUCUAAACUCAUUUCUAUCAUCACCUUUUUCAUUUAUUUAAUUAUUAAGGUGAUUUAAUGAACAUGCAUUCCAAGUGUUCCAAAAAUCCUAAGAAAAUUACAGCAAGCUACUUAUGCUAACAUAAGAUGACUGUAAAAUGUUCAGAACAUUUGCACAUACAUAUUAUGAGAUACAAAAAUAACAAGCUAGCAAAGGCAUGCAAGGCAUAAAUGUGAAACCCUAUCAAAAAGUGUCAAACAACAGAUUUCAGAUUUUUCCUAGCCUUGUCUACAUAUAAGUGCAAUACUCAGCAAGUUUCACCACAAAAGGAGUAACAACUUAAUUAUUAAAAAUACCACAAGAAACUCCUAUUUAAGAAAGAAUUAUUUUUAACUCCACACUCAGGCUUCCAAAAAUCAUGAUAAAUUUAUCAGAGCCUAGUCACAACAUAAGUAAUAACUCCCUAAAUUUGCAUGGCCAACAGAUCAAUAGAUUUCAAGAUAUAAUUACCUCCCAAAAAUCCAAGAUUAAUUUAUAUCUAUUUAUUUCUGCAAAAACAUGGCAUGUUUCAUAUUUUUAUUAAAAACUAGACUUAUGCUGGAACCUAGCAAAAUUGGAACCAUAUCAUUUGGAUCUAUAAAACUCCAGAUAUGAAUUUUUCAAAAACAGCACAGGCUCUGCAAAAACAAUGAACUAGGGGGAGUGAGAGGGAGAGGCUGACACCCGGGACCCGCGCGUCAGAGAGACAGAGACAGGGGAGAUGCUCGUCGCCGGCGAAGCUCAACGACGACGAGGUCUCGGCCGGAUCCAAGGGCAUCUACGUGUUCCUCUCAUCAAGGCGACUCUGUUGACCUACUUUACCCGCGCUCUACUGGACCCUAAGGUGCUCGCCGUCGGGAAUGGCGGAGCGGCGGCGCUGCGCGGCGUUACGCCGGCUGAUCCAGGCAAUGGCGACACGGUAGAGGUUGCGGACGAGCAAGAGCGGCUCAAGGUGAAGCUAUAGGAAGAAGAUUCACGGCCAGAGCUGAACCAGAGAGGUCUGGCCACGUUGCCGGUGAUCUCUGUGAACUCCGGCGAGGUGGAGCUCGCGACGGAGAUGGCAAUGUGACUUCACCGGUGCUCGGCUACGGGAAUGGAGUGGACGCCGAGGUAGAGGACGUCAAGGCGGAGCUCUGGACAGGUUGGCAUGGCCGGAGGCCGGAGACGCGGUGGAACGGCUAGAGAAGCUCGCCGAAACGCGGUGCGUGGCAUCUUGUGGACAACGUCGGGGCUGACAGGCGGGGUCGCCAUCGACGUACGGUCGACAGGUGGCCGGACACACGGCGGCGGACGGUUUCUGUCCAAACUGAAUCGGGCGAUUCAGUCGCCAUGGCCAGUGACUGAAACCCGAUCUUCAACAACGUUUUACUCUCAGCUCAAUCGAUGGUUUUGGCUGGGAUUUGAUCCUCUAGAUAGAGCUACACGAGUUCUAUAACUUUGAUUACACGAGCUUAGUCUAAAUCGGUCUAGAUUUCAAACUACAAGGCUUCAAACAACCCUACCUCGAAACUGUCUCCUUCAAGACUUAGCCAAAUUCGGCUAAGUGUGAAAUCAGCCCUGAUUUUUGGCAAGUGAGCAAUUUUUGGAUGUGUUCUAAGCUUUUUCGUAAAAAGUCAUCAACAUAACUUUUGUAGCUUAUGAAAUUCUCUACAACUUUGUUUCAGGUGUCAAAGACAUGCAAGGUAUCUAACAUUACUUUCAUAAAACAUCUUUGAUUGGAGGUUUAGGGGGUCAAAUAAGCCAUUCUAGGUUUAACCAUAACCUAGGGGCAAUUUUUGGCCAAAACCUUCAACAUGAACUUUGCUCCAAAUGAUAUUCUAAACAUGAUUGAGGUAUUUUGGAAGACAAUGAACAUUUGUAAGGAUUAGUCACCCACUAAGGUCACUCAAACAACUCACACAAGCAAUAUAAUCAUAUAGUGCAUAUAGUAAAUGGCAUGUGAUCAUGGUAUGAUGCUCAUGAGUGAUCAUGAUGAUGCUUAUGUUGAUGCAAUGCUCAUGGUUAACAUGCAAUCUAACACUAGGAGUGUUACAGCCCUCCCCCCUUACAAAAAUCUCGUCCCGAGAUUUGGAAGACGUACCAUUUUUCAUAGAAUGAGGGAUAAGUUACUUGUAAAUAGUCUUCCCUUUCCCAAGUGGCAUCUCUCUCAUUUUGACGGUUCCACAAAACUCUAAAAAGUUUGAUCACCCUCCCACGAGUAACUCGUUCUUUGACAUCAAGAACUUGUACAGGCUUUUCUUCAUAGGAUAGGUCUGACUGCAACUUGAUAUCUCUUGUUUCAACUCUCUCUUCGGGCACACGAACACACUUCUUAAGUUGAGAUACGUGGAACACGGGGAAAAUAGCUCUCAUUUUGGGAGGUAGUUGUACUUUGUAAGCUACCUUGCCACUCUUCUCAAUGAUUUGGUAGGGACCUACAUACCUAGGGGCAAGCUUUCUUUUAACGCUAAAGCGAUUUACUCCUUUCAUGGGUGAUACUUUUAGGUACACAAAGUCACCGACUUCAAACUCGAUUGGCUUUCUUCUUCGGUCAGCAUAGCUUUUCUGCCUAGCUUGGGCAGCUCUCAUGUGUUGCUGGAUAACAAGAACUUGCUUUUCUGCUUCCUUGACAAAGUCAAAUCCGUAGUACCUCCUUUCACCAGGUUCAACCCAGUUUAGAGGAGUUCUACACUUGCAGCCAUACAAAGCUUCAAAAGGAGCCAUUUGGAUGCUCUCUUGAUAACUAUUGUUGUACGAGAAUUUAGCUAAGGGUUGCCAUUUCUCCCAUGCACCCUUGGAAGAUAUAACACAGGCCCUCAACAUAUCCUCUAGAAUUUGAUUCACACGCUCAGUCUGACCGGAGGUUUGAGGAUGAUAGGCUGAACUGCGAACCAACUUUGUACCAAGGAGUGAAUGCAGAUGCUCCCAAAAGCGAGCAGUGAACUGAGGACCUCUAUCAGAAAUAAUAGUGCGAGGCACUCCGUGCAAUUUAACUAUCUGAGAGAAGUACAACUCAGCAUAGUCGAUUGGUCGGUAUGUAGAGUGUACAGGAAUAAAAUGAGCUGACUUGGUCAAACGGUCAACAACCACCCAUAUGGAAUUGUGUCCUUUUUGAGUAAGGGGAAGUCCAAAAAUGAAAUCCAUGCUGAUUUCUUCCCACUUCCAACCUGGAAUUGAUAACGGUUGCAAUAAACCUGCAGGUUUGAGAUGAACUGCCUUUACUCUGCAGCAAGUAUCACACCUAGCAACAUAAGCUGUUAUCUCUUUCUUCAUUUUGGUCCACCAGAAACGAGGUCUCAAGUCUAGGUACAUUUUGCUACUACCCGGAUGAAUGGACAACUUGGAAGAAUGAGCUUCUUCUAAAAUUUUGUUGCGUAGGUCACGGUCUUUGGGUACAACUUGUCGAUCGUCAAACCACAGUACACCUUUCUCAUCUACCCGGAAAUGCUUGGUGUCUUGCUCUUGCAUUUUUCUCUUGAUAUGAAAAAUACCUAGAUUAGAUUUUUGGAGCUCUAUGAUUUGACUUUCUAAUGAGCAGCUGACUGUGAUGUUGUGCAGGACCACAGGAUGCAACAAAUUGAAGCCUUCCUCUAGGAGAGGUCUAACAUGUUGUUUCCAACUGAGAGCAUCAGCUACAACAUUGGCUUUGCCUGGAUGAUAGUGCACUUCUAAAUUGUAGUCUUUUAUCAAUUCCAGCCAUCUUCUUUGUCUCAUAUUCAGCUCGGGUUGUGUGAAGAUAUAUUUGAGGCUCUUAUGGUCAGUGUAAAUGUGACAAAGAUUACCCAACAGAUAAUGUCUCAAGAGUUUCAAUGCAUGUACAACUGCUGCUAACUCUAGAUCAUGAGUAGGGUAGUUGGCUUCAUGUUUCCUCAGCUGCCGAGAAGCAUAGGAAAUAACUCGGCCUUCUUGCAUAAGCACACAACCUAGGCCAGUGCCAGAUGCAUCACAAAAGACAUCAAAUGGCUUUUCAAUGUCAGGCUGUGCCAGAAUAGGAGCGGUGGUCAGCAAAUGGCGUAGAGUAUUGAAAGCAACUUCACACUCCUGGGACCACACAAACUUCACAUCUUUUUGCAGUAGCUUGGUCAUAGGCUUCGCUAUUUUGGAGAAGUCUGGAAUAAAGCGCCGAUAAUAUCCAGCUAGACCGAGAAAGCUCCGGACUUCGUGCACUGAAGUCGGGGCCUUCCAGUCUAGAACCUCCUGCACCUUUGACAGGUCAACAGAAAUACCCUCUUCGGAUAAAAUAUGGCCUAAGAAAGGCACUUUCUUCAGCCAAAACUCACACUUGCUGAAUUUGGCAUAGAGCUGAUGUUCUCGCAAUCUAGUGAGUACAAUCCGAAGGUGCUUCUCAUGUUCUUGUGCAUUUUCAGAAUACACCAAUACAUCAUCGAUGAACACCACCACAAACUUAUCCAGUUUAGGCAUGAACACCGAAUUCAUCAGGUACAUGAAAUGAGCAGGGGCAUUAGUCAGACCAAAGGACAUGACUAAAUACUCGUACAACCCAUACCUGGUAGAGAAAGCUGUUUUAGGAAUGUCUUCGGGUCGGAUCUUGAUUUGAUGAUAACCAGAUCUCAGAUCAAUCUUGGAGAAUACCUUGGCCUUGGCUAAUUGAUCAAACAGGAUAUUAAUGUGAGGCAAUGGAUACUUGUUUUUAAUGGUCACGACAUUCAGCGGACGAUAGUCUACACACAUACGUAGAGACUUGUCCUUCUUCUUGACAAAGAGAGCCAGACAACCCCAUGGAGAAGAACUAGGCCGAAUAAGACCUUUCUCAAGAAGUUCUUGCAAUUGCUUUUUCAACUCUGCCAAUUCGUUGGGUGGCAUUCGAUAUGGCCUUCUAGAGAUAGGUGCGGUACCCGGAAUUAGAUCAAUUUUAAACUCAAUGUCUCUGUCCGGCGGCAACCCGGGCAGAUCCUCAGGAAAGACAUCCGGAAACUCACACACUACCAGAAUUUCUGCCACAGUAAGUGGUCGGAUAGCAUUAGCAGCAUGAUGAAUGUCAUCAUUCUUGGGAAGCUGGACUAAGAAGGCUUCUUUGUUAUCAGGCUCUCGCAACAUAACCACCCUCGUGGAGGUGUCUAUUAGUACUCCGUUAUUUCUCAUCCAAUUCAUCCCUAAAAUAACAUCUAUGCCCAAACCCGGCAAAAUUACAAGAUUUGCUGAAAAGUUACGACAAUAGCAAUAUUCACAUCCUUCACUAAUUGGUUCGUGGAAAUUUGGUUCCCAGCAGCACUAAUGCAAAACUUGCCACUGUCAAGAUCAACUACAUGUUGUCCAUGCUUAGAUGCAAAUGCUUGACUCAUAAAUGAAUGCGAAGCUCCAGAAUCAAACAAGACAACUGCAGGGUGUUGAUUUACAAUGAACAUACCAGCGGUGACUGCUUCACCCUCAGGGAUUUCUUCAACCGUGGUGUAGUGCACACAACCAGUAUGGUUAUUGCCUCCAGCUGUAGAAUUUCUCUUAGGAUAAGGGCAAUCUCUCGCGUGACCAACUUGCUUACAAUUGAAGCAGGGGCGGUUAUCAGGAGGAGUCUUGGGACCUCCUUGACCCGUGGCACCUCUUGGGAGCGCAACUGUGAAGGACUUGCGAACUCCCGUCUUCACAUUUGACUUUUUCUACGGUGGCCCGUACCUUGUCACAGCAUUGGGUGGGCGAUAGGCCGGUUUGCUUGUCACUGGAGCCUUGGACUGUGAAGCACCUGCCUCAUAGGCCCUCUUGCGGUUCUUGGACGCGGCAUACACGGCAUUGGAGUUCUCUUGAGUCAACGCAUCACUUACAAACUCAUUAAAGGUGGUACUCUUGUUACCAGCCAUGUUCUUAGACAACUUGGGUCCCAACCCUCUCUUGAAACUAGCGAGCUUCUUGGCUUCGGUGUCAACCAUCUCAGGAGCAUAGCGAGACAAAUUAUUAAAAGCAUGAAGAUACUCCGUCAAGCUUUUAGUGCCUUGCGUCAGGUUCAUGAACUCGGUGUGCUUGAUAGUCAUUAAGCCUUGGGGAAUGUAAGUAUUCCUGAAAGCAGUUGUGAACUGAUCCCAGGUUACAACAGCAUUGGCAGGCAAGCUGGUCCUGUAAUGACUCCACCAGACACCUGCUUUGCCCUCCAACUGGUGGGCUGCAUAUUCCGCCUUUAGCUCUUCGGUCACCCUCAGCAAGCGGAACUUCUGCUUGAGAGUGUUGAGCCAUUCAUCACCUUCUAGAGGUUCGACAGCCUCCUUGAAAAGCAGCGGCUUUGUGUCUUGGGAAUCCUUGAAACUGCUGUACUGAUUUGCCUCUCCGCCUUGGCGGGCAUGGCGACCACCCCGGUUCUGCUGCGCCAUAGUUUGCAUAGCUUCAUUGAGCAUUCGCUGGCCCUCAAUAAGAGCUGCCAAUAGCUCAGUAGGCGUAGGCGGGGGAGGAGGUGGUGGUGGCGGCACCUCGUUAUGACUGGAGCGAGUAUUGCGAGCCAUCUGCACAAGGCAUACCAAGCGAUUGUUUCAGGCAAUAGGUAUAAUUGUCAUGAACUUCAAUUGCUGCCAUACGGAAUUUAAUAAAGUAAAUUCACAUAAAUUAAAGGCGCAAUAAUCCAUGUACAAUAAGAGAAUAUCUUCCAUGACACUUGGUUAUUCUCGCGAUCAAUCACAGUCACAAUUUCUCAAAGAUUAAAGACAUGGCAGAGAAUUAUUUAGGCUCAACAUAAACAUGGAGCAUCACAAAUAAGUGCAUAGGGUUACAUAGAGUCAUUACCACACUUAAGGUUUUUACAGGAGGGGCACCAUGGCCAAAUACAUAGAAUCUCAACAAAAAUUCAGAUUACAUGUCCAUUACACAAAGAGAUGGAACUGAUACACGAUCAUGGAAUUAUUGCUAGGCUACAUAUCUUCAUCAGAUUCUCCAUUAGAAAUGAUGCCAUCAUCCUGAUCUUCCUCAUUAGGAACUUCUUCAUGAUUAAAAGGGGCUGGAUGUGGAAUAGGAUUUAUGAUAUUAUUUAAGCGAUGGACAUCUAACUGCAGCUCAGCAAUCCUAGUAAUCAGCUCUUCCUCUCUCAUUUCAGCAUGGAACAAGGCUCUAACUCUAGCACCUUCUCUAUUUUCAGCCAAGCGCAUAUAGCCUCAUCUCUCUCUCUAGUCAUUUGCAUCAUGCGGGCUUGUGCUUCAUUGCGCUCCCUAACUGCAUUCUCAACUUGGUUGCGGCGGGCUUGCAAAGCGGUAUGAUAGUUUUGGAUUUCAGCUUGUGCAUCCAUAAAAGCUUUGCGAUGCUUGCGCACUCGCUUGCGCAGUUUGCGCUGCCCAACUUGAGCUUGUUGAAGCGCUAGCUUGGCGUCUAUGUAAGUGUCCUGUCGUAUAUAGUACAGCUUAAGCACCGCUAGCAUGGCACUCAUGGCAGGGCUAGAGCUAUAUCCUAGCAGGGUUUCUCUCAUCUCUAAAGGCUCAUUCCCUAUCUGAGACACAAAUGUGUCAGUCACACUCACUCUGGGGAUGGAUCCCGCUGGGCCAUUCACUAACUCAUCACCAUAAUCUUGGCAUAUCUCUAGCAAAACCUCUAGGGUUGCUACUUGGGCACCCUCCCAAGGAGUUUGGCCAUCACACUCAACUAUCCAACCUAGCCACUGUGGGUUAUUUCGACAAGGGGAACUGUAAUUUGGACAUCUACCCAAGGUAAGGCUCCUGCAUGCUCAGACUCCGUCCAAGUGUCCUUAGGUGGUUCCUCAUAUCCAACUAAACUUAGCACCCUCCACAACAAAGUAGGAGUGCCAAACAUGUCCAGGAAAGUCUCACUUGCGUGCGGGGCUGCCAUCUGUAGAAAGACCACAUUUGGGUAAGGGAGAUUAAUUACAAGGAGAGAUAAAUAGAUAUAAUUUCAGAAUUUAAUACCAAGUAGUGCAUAAGAAUGUAUGAAUGAUUCAUGAUGCAUGCACGUUCCAUACGUCCUUUCCAUUCCUAGAAGAAAGUUCUAACGGUAUAGUUGGUGGCAUACAUACGUGCACUCUUAUACGCAACUACACGGUCUACACGUUUCGUUGUUAGUGUACCUGCAGAAGAUUUCAUUUCAGCCCAACCCCACAAUAGUAUAAGUGCAGAAAUGUAAAACCAAUCAUCAACAAUCAAGCUAGGUACUCCGAUAUAUAUUCCCGAACAUAUAUCGCAGCACACUACCCAUUUUGGAUACACCCACAUAUACAUCAAAUAUGUAUACAUGGCUGCACCUACUACUCACAAUUAAGUACCUUCAUAUAUACAUGUGUGAAACACGUAAAUAUUCCGGUAACCACAGCUAACACUCCCCUAGACCAACGGUUGGACGGUCAUGCUCUCACAGCUCACACUUACCGUAGCGUAGAGGCAUAUCGAUCCAUACAUUACCACUCAAGCAAGUGGCAUCCAUACAAUUUCACGCCGUAUGGACGACGAAAGAAAACAAACAAUGCUUACCAUGGCGUAGAGGUAUGUGAUCCAUUCAUUACCACUUAAGUAAGCGGUAUCCAUAUAAUUGCACGCCAUAUGGACGACGAAAGGAAAAACCCCCAUGUUAGAAAUGUUAAGCCACCUAGAAGUCCUUAUAUGGGCAUAAAGGGCAUGACCACUGGCAUGGUAUAAGUUAUCAAAAUGUUUUAAAACAGCCCUAUGUAUAGUCUAAUUUUGCCAAAUUAGUUUGAGAAAACAAAAUUCAUUUGUUUUCAAAUACAUCUAUGAUGGUUAAAUGACUAAUCUUGCUCUGAUGCCAGCUGUAACAGAACCGUCCAAUUUAUAAGAAUUCAAGUGAAUUAGCGACCACGGAGGCAGUCAAGCCAAUGGACUUGAACCCAUAUAAACCCGAUAGUCCGACGAAAUCUCAAAAGACCUCGAUUCAACCAACAUACAACCAAGAUCGUACAUGAUCAAGCAUCACCAUCACAGAUUACAACAUUCAUCACAGAACAUAGUUUUACAUCACAUCAG
This 12068-nucleotide long non-coding RNA is filed under the name Sorghum bicolor (sorghum). RNAcentral's name for it is "long non-coding RNA (SBIC_LNC008625)". Lineage: Eukaryota; Viridiplantae; Streptophyta; Magnoliopsida; Poales; Poaceae. The record is from RNAcentral.